GGAAUCUUGCACAAUGGGCGAAAGCCUGAUGCAGCGACGCCGCGUGGGGGACGAAGGCCCUCGGGUUGUAAAACCCUUUCGGCAGGGAAGAAGAGCAAGUGACGGUACCUGCAGAAGAAGCUCCGCCUAACGACGGGCCAGCAGCCGCGGUAAGACGUAGGGAGCGAGCGUUGUCCGGAUUCAUUGGGCGUGAAGCGCGCGUAGGCGGUUUGGCAAGUCGGAUGUGAAAUCCCGAGGCUCAACCUCGUGACUGCAUCCGAUACUGCCCGACUAGAGGUAGGUAGGGGAGAUCGGAAUUCCUGGUGUAGCGGUGAAAUGCGCAGAUAUCAGGAGGAACACCGGUGGCGAAGGCGGAUCUCUGGGCCUUACCUGACGCUCAGGCGCGAAAGCUAGGGGAGCAAAC
Molecule: ribosomal RNA, 403 nt
Filed under: uncultured bacterium
Lineage: Bacteria
Description: bacterial SSU rRNA
Rfam family: Bacterial small subunit ribosomal RNA
Source: RNAcentral